AUUGAACGCUGGCGGCAGGCCUAACACAUGCAAGUCGAGCGGAUGAAGGGAGCUUGCUCCUGGAUUCAGCGGCGGACGGGUGAGUAAUGCCUAGGAAUCUGCCUGGUAGUGGGGGAUAACGUCCGGAAACGGGCGCUAAUACCGCAUACGUCCUGAGGGAGAAAGUGGGGGAUCUUCGGACCUCACGCUAUCAGAUGAGCCUAGGUCGGAUUAGCUAGUUGGUGGGGUAAAGGCCUACCAAGGCGACGAUCCGUAACUGGUCUGAGAGGAUGAUCAGUCACACUGGAACUGAGACACGGUCCAGACUCCUACGGGAGGCAGCAGUGGGGAAUAUUGGACAAUGGGCGAAAGCCUGAUCCAGCCAUGCCGCGUGUGUGAAGAAGGUCUUCGGAUUGUAAAGGACUUUAAGUUGGGAGGAAGGGCAGUAAGUUAAUACCUUGCUGUUUUGACGUUACCAACAGAAUAAGCACCGGCUAACUUCGUG
RNAcentral lists this ribosomal RNA (484 nucleotides) under uncultured bacterium. RNAcentral's name for it is "partial 16S ribosomal RNA". It matches the Rfam family "Bacterial small subunit ribosomal RNA", at positions 30 to 507 of the family's 1533-position model. The record is from RNAcentral.